UGCCAUAUGACCUAUGAUCCCACCAUCUC
RNAcentral lists this non-coding RNA (29 nucleotides) under Homo sapiens (human). The record is from RNAcentral. Lineage: Eukaryota; Metazoa; Chordata; Mammalia; Primates; Hominidae.